UACGUAGGUGGCAAGCGUUGUCCGGAUUUACUGGGCGUAAAGGGCGUGCAGGCGGUUUGUUUAGUCUAGGGUGAAAGCUUCCGGCUUAACUGGGAGAGGGCCUUGGAUACUGGCAAACUUGAGGGAGGCAGAGGAAAGUGGAAUUCCCGGUGUAGUGGUGAUAUGCGUAGAUAUCGGGAGGAACACCAGUGGCGAAGGCGGCUUUCUGGGCCUUACCUGACGCUGAGACGCGAAAGCGUGGGGAGCGAACCGG
Molecule: ribosomal RNA, 253 nt
Filed under: uncultured bacterium
Lineage: Bacteria
Description: partial 16S ribosomal RNA
Rfam family: Bacterial small subunit ribosomal RNA
Source: RNAcentral